CGACAGCCAGCCGCCUAGCCACACGCACACCCCGCCGUCCCGUGCUCCCGGCCGCCACCGCACACACGCACAGGCCACAGGCGCACCGCGCAGCGCGCACAGCACAGCAGCCGAGCAGCGCUUGGACGAGCACGAACGCCGGUCACCGGCUCACCGCUGGCACUGGGGCCGUCAUGAUUCUGCACUUCUGCUUCUUGGUCUCUUGGAUCUUGGUAGUGCAGCGGCCGGCCAGGGGAUCUUUCGGGCAUGAGUAAUGUUGAUUAGAAUUAACUAAUUUUUCGGGCAGCUGGGCCUAGCCAUCAUAGUUUACUUUCAUAACUUUUAAAUUCCCCUAUCAUUUUUCACAGGGAUGGACUUUGCUGAUUUGAGAUGAAGGCCUGAUUUCACGAGGAAGAUUUACGUUGUUGUUGCCCUCACGGUCAUGUGCAUAAUCAUGCAGUUCAGCAUACAAGGGCAAAAGAACCUUAUGGGGCCGCACUUCAGUAUUUGAAAAUGUUUUGUAUAGUUCUAUAAAUUAGUAUCGGUAGCAUAGUCUUACAAUUUUAUGCAAACCAGUAAUUAGUUUCGCAGGCAGUCUGUAACAAUUAUCAAAAGAUCACCUUUGCAAUUAGAGGCAUUUGAGAAGUGUGCUAAAGAAUGUGAAUAUGUAUUGCUUAAUUUAUGUGUUUGUUGGAUGGUUGGGCAAUUAAUGCCAUCGAUACGAACUACCCGACAACUAUCCGGUAUCUACCCG
Molecule: long non-coding RNA, 733 nt
Filed under: Zea mays
Lineage: Eukaryota; Viridiplantae; Streptophyta; Magnoliopsida; Poales; Poaceae
Description: long non-coding RNA (ZMAY_LNC003373)
Source: RNAcentral